UAGGGAGGGGGCUAGCGUUGUUCGGAAUCACUGGGCGUAAAGCGCGCGCAGGUGGCUUGGAAAGUCAGAGGUGAAAUCCCGGAGCUUAACUUCGGAACUGCCUUUGAAACUCCCGAGCUAGAGUAUGGUAGAGGUUGGCGGAAUUCCUAGUGUAGAGGUGAAAUUCGUAGAUAUUAGGAGGAACACCAGUGGCGAAGGCGGCCAACUGGGCCAUUACUGACACUGAGGCGCGAAAGCGUGGGGAGCAAACAGG
Molecule: ribosomal RNA, 253 nt
Filed under: uncultured bacterium
Lineage: Bacteria
Description: partial 16S ribosomal RNA
Rfam family: Bacterial small subunit ribosomal RNA
Source: RNAcentral